AUGAAGGGACAGGUGAAUGCAGAGAAGCUCCUGGCAGGGUUGCCUGGAUUUUUUCAAGGCUAUGAGUUGCACAAUCGAGCAGAAGAUUCUUUGAAGCUACAAGAAGAGGUCAAAGCAGCAUGUUCACAAGGUGUGUUACUCAGAAGUUUCCCUUUACAGAUUUUAUUUGCUUGAUUACCUUUAGGAAUUCCCAUGGCAUCAUUUGGCCAACUCUAGGUAUGCUGUUGCCUCAGAAUCUUCAUUGAAAUGGGCAUUGAUCAGAAGGAAGGGAGGAGAGAAAGGAAGACGGGAGAGAGAGGAAGGAAGGAAGGGAGAGAGAAAGGUGCUGCGCAUUUAAAUUGUCCCAGGGUACCUACUUGAGGCAUGGUUAUCUUCGACCACUGCUGUUUUUAAACACUUUGUUAUUAUAACCUAGACUGUAACCUGGUAUGGUAUGUCUGUAAGAAGGAAGAUGAGAAUACUCUCUCUUAUUCCAAUUCAGGAGUAGAAAGGAGCAGUUAUUAAAAUGCUGUCGGUUUUAUCAACCAAGCUGUGCUGAGCUUGUGUCUAGGACUGAUACCAGACAGCUGAAAGAAGUGAAAAUAUAUUUAGGAUCACAUCAGGGUUACCUUAAAACACUGGAAAAGAAAAAAUUGUGUAGCCAUCUUCCCUUAGUAUUAUACAGGGCUCGGGGCAAAGGUAUUUGCAACAAGUUAGCAUGUACAACAUUUUGCCUCUCUAUUAUACCUUAAAAUAGCCUUUAAAAGCAGCAAAUUCAUGGCUUAACAAAAAACUAUCUCUUUGAAAUGUUUUCCUGUGUGCUCAUUCCUCCAAAAAAAUCCAUAAUUAUCAACUUGAUAUAUGAAAUUGGAACUUAGCAAAUGUUUCAGAGAGAUUACUUGCGUUCUCUGUGUAGCAUGUUAGCUUCUAAAGUCCCUCAUAAAUAUGAUCCUUCAUGAAAUCGCAAUUCAAAGACUUAUGUGGUUCCCUGUUUCGCUUUCUCCCUUGUCUUAAAACAUGCAUUGAUUUUCUAAGAGUGAACAUUUGCUUUGUGGUCAUACAGAACAGGCUCUUAAACUAGUGAUUUUUAGUGUGAGAAAGUCAUCAUUAUCAUCAUAAAUCUGGUAUCACAUUAUAAGUCUAGCAGGGAAACACCACAUAGGCUACCUGGGCAACCAGAGACAUUGUAGUCUUUAUUGGAGGCUAAAGUGUUUUUAAGACAUUAGCAGGGCCCAGGGGAAAGUGGGUCUCCAUUCCUUUCCAUUUUCUGUUUGGGAAGUCAUUGUUUCCAUUGUGAGGUCACGCAACCCUGGCAGAUCUUCCAAGAAAUUAGAUAACAGUAAGAGCUGAACUCAGUAGAUUUUACCUAUUCAUAAAAAAUAAUAAUUCCUCCUGUCUAAGUGAUAGAGCCUCUUGAGUGGUGAGAUGAAUGGCAUGAAACUCUUGUUAAAGGCUUAUAAAAAUCUACAGUUACACAAUAUUCAGAAGAUAGAGAAAUGACCAGCUUCACACAGGAAGACUUCCUUUAACCCAUCCAUAGACUGGAAGACCUUCCUUUUUAACAUGCAGCAGCUUUUAAUGGAAGGCAAAAUAGGCCCAUCUAAGAGAAAAAGAAUUCCGUACCCUGCAGAGUAGAGCUAAUAAAUUAUUUUUGAAAAAUACA
Molecule: long non-coding RNA, 1642 nt
Filed under: Phascolarctos cinereus (koala)
Lineage: Eukaryota; Metazoa; Chordata; Mammalia; Diprotodontia; Phascolarctidae
Description: lncRNA (ENSPCIG00000034813.1)
Source: RNAcentral